RNAcentral lists this ribosomal RNA (457 nucleotides) under uncultured Pelagibacterales bacterium. Its description in RNAcentral is "bacterial SSU rRNA". It matches the Rfam family "Bacterial small subunit ribosomal RNA", at positions 89 to 580 of the family's 1533-position model. Lineage: Bacteria; Pseudomonadati; Pseudomonadota; Alphaproteobacteria; Candidatus Pelagibacterales. The record is from RNAcentral.
UACUUAGUGGCAGACGGGUGAGUAACAUGUGGGUAUCUACCCUUUGGCCUGGAAUAACACGAGGAAACUUGUGCUAAUACCGGAUAAGUCUUUACGGAGAAAGCUUUAUGCACCAUUGGAUGAGCCCGCACUUGAUUAGUUUGUUGGUAGGGUAAUGGCCUACCAAGACUAUGAUCAAUAGCUGAUUUGAGAGGAUGAUCAGCCACAUUGGGACUGAGACACGGCCCAAACUCCUACGGGAGGCAGCAGUGGGGAAUCUUGCACAAUGGAGGAAACUCUGAUGCAGCGAUGCCGCGUGAGUGAAGAAGGCCUUUGGGUUGUAAAGCUCUUUCGUCGGGGAAGAAAAUGACUGUACCCGAAUAAGAAGGUCCGGCUAACUUCGUGCCAGCAGCCGCGGUAAUACGAAGGGACCUAGCGUAGUUCGGAAUUACUGGGCUUAAAGAGUUCGUAGGUGGUU